GGUUGAUCCUGCCAGUAGUCAUACGCUUGUCUCAAAGAUUAAGCCAUGCAUGUCUAAGUAUAAACGACUCUAUACUGUGAAACUGCGAAUGGCUCAUUAAAUCAGUUUUAGUUUAUUUGAUGGUUCAUUACUACUUGGAUAACCGUAGUAAUUCUAGAGCUAAUACAUGCGUCAAAUCCCGACUUCUGGAAGGGAUGUAUUUAUUAGAUGGAAACCAAUGCGGGGCAACCCGGAGUGAUGGUGAAUCAUGAUAACUGUGCGGAUCGCAUGCUUCGGCGGCGAUGCAUCAUUCA
Molecule: ribosomal RNA, 293 nt
Filed under: uncultured eukaryote
Lineage: Eukaryota
Description: partial 18S ribosomal RNA
Rfam family: Eukaryotic small subunit ribosomal RNA
Source: RNAcentral